CCAUUCCCCUGAUUACUUCCCUGUGGCCCCAGAUUUGUACAGAUCUUUGUUUCUUUCCCUCUAGAAUCUUGGAUCAGUUCCCCAGUUCCCCAUUGACCUUCAUAGCCCUCAGAAUGCUGGCCAAAGCCAGAGGGCCAAGACAACGGAGCCAAGAGGAGAAGUGGGAAGGACACAGACCUCAGCCGGACAUGAUUCUGCCGACACAUCCCUGGAAAACCUCUGCCCCAUCAAGAGAUGCCUCCUGCUGCUUGGGGCCAUCGGGCUACUGGCAGGGGCCGCCAUCGGGAUGUGGCUUCUAGUGAAAUUCCUGACAGCGCCCCUGACAGACCAGGAUCCCAGCCCCCUGCAGGACGUGGAGUCGAUCCCAAUCUGCACAGACGCCAGGGAAGACGAGCCCGUCAUCACCACGGCUCCCAGGAGAGGUUUGAGAUCUUUACUCCCCACGCCCCUUCUCUCCCUGUGGAGAGGAUGUGUCGCCUAGUGCCUUCAGCUGGACCUUUCACUCACAGUGAUCUGUGGAAACCCCCUGGAAUCCAGCCUGACCUAAGAGCAAGGUCAAAGGCAAAGCAAAGAAUGAGGCUGUCUCUGUGCCUUUGCCUGCCCCUUUCUCGUUGUCACAGACCAGAAAGUUCCCCCACAUUCUGUUUUUCUCCUUGAGUUUUGCAGUAAAAAGCCUCUUCCCUCCCCGGAGGAUGUUUGCAUCACAGUAGCAACUUGACAGCUGAGCCCAGUGGUUAAAGGGGAGCGAAGCAGGAGGCGGAAGAGCAGUGGGGGGGAAGUGCUGUUUACCCAAGCCAGGGAGAGGAGGGGGAGCGCGCUCUCCGUUCUGAGCAGAGGAGAAGGGAGCUGGACUCCUCCUUACUGACCCCCUGAUUUUGACCCCCACCCCUAAAGUGGGAGCUGAGCAGAUUGUGAGCUGUGGUUCAAAUUCAGCAGUGACGCCAACGAUGGUGUAAAUGACUUUCCUGCACCUCCUGCUGUCUAGGGCUCAGCGUUAGCCCUCCGCACCCAUCUCCUGAGGUCGCCACAGAUCACAGUGUGUCUGGGCCCCAUUUGGCUGGGGGUUUCCCAUCUUGCAAGCAAAGGCGAGGUGACAACAACCUCUUACCCACCGGGUGUUCAGUGCAGGUGCACCAGUGCUCCCAACAUGUCACACUUCCUGUUCUCCACUGGUCCCCCUUUUCCGACCCUCACACCCCAGAGGUAACCUCUGCCCCUGUUUUAAUCCCACAUGAAGCUAGCCCUUGGGAUGGGGCGUCUCACAAAGUCACCACUUCACAGCAAUGGAGUUUUAAUCAAGUCCCUGAGAUGCUAAUUGCUUGUUGAAUGCAGGAGACGGGGUGGUUCAUUGGACAGGGUGUAGGACAGGCAGUGGGUUCUAUGCUUGCCUCUACCACAAUCGCUCUGUGACACCAACCUCGGCCUGACUCUACAAUGGGGAUAGUGUUAAUGGUGCUAUUUAAAGUGUUUAGAGAUUUCUAACUGGAAAGUGCUAUGUAAGUAGUAAGUGUCUCGGAUUCAGCCUCCAACUAAUUUUGCAGCUUUUCUUUCACUCAAACAGGCCCUGCUCAGCUUCUGCCUUUAAACCCAGUCCCCAACAUGCUUUAUUUUUGGGACACUGGAGCAAUUCUGAAGCAAAGGGGAAGCUUGCUGGAGCCCUCUGCAUAGCACUACCCAGAAUGCUUUGCCAGUACCCAGCAGUGCCACCCCCUGAGCCCAGGGAGCACAUGGAAAGGUCGAGGAGUGGUUUGCAAUAGCCCCAAAGGUUUUCUGGGGCACUUUGCAGGGCCAGAUUUGGUGAUGGGUUCGUCCCUCGUUAGUCACGGGGACUUUAUUGUGUUUAGCUUUGGCCUUUGCAAAGAGCUGGUCGCAAAGAGCUGGUCGCAAGGACGCUUGCAGGACGUUUUUAAUAAAAUGGUUUUAGUAUCUUUCA
RNAcentral lists this long non-coding RNA (1933 nucleotides) under Chrysemys picta bellii (western painted turtle). RNAcentral's name for it is "lncRNA (ENSCPBG00000009434.1)". The record is from RNAcentral. Lineage: Eukaryota; Metazoa; Chordata; Testudines; Emydidae.